UCAUGUUCUAGUAUAGCAAUUAUACCGUGAAACUGCGAAUGGCUCAUUAAAUCAGUUAUCGUUUAUUUGAUAAUACCUUACUACUUGGAUAACCGUGGUAAUUCUAGAGCUAAUACAUGCUGAAAAUCCCGACUUCGGAAGGGAUGUGUUUAUUAGAUAAAAAACCAAUGCCCUUCGGGGCUCUUUGGUGAUUCAUGAUAACUUUACGGAUCGCAUAGCCUUGCGCUGGCGACGGUUCAUUCAAAUUUCUGCCCUAUCAACUUUCGAUGGUAAGGUAUUGGCUUACCAUGGUUUCAACGGGUAACGGGGAAUUAGGGUUCGAUUCCGGAGAGGGAGCCUGAGAAACGGCUACCACAUCCAAGGAAGGCAGCAGGCGCGCAAAUUACCCAAUCCCGACACGGGGAGGUAGUGACAAUAAAUACUGAUACAGGGCUCUUUUGGGUCUUGUAAUUGGAAUGAGUACAAUUUAAACCUCUUAACGAGGAACAAUUGGAGGGCAAGUCUGGUGCCAGCAGCCGCGGUAAUUCCAGCUCCAAUAGCGUAUAUUAAAGUUGUUGCAGUUAAAAAGCUCGUAGUUGAAACUUGGGCCUGGCUGGCGGGUCCGCCUCACCGCGUGCACUCGUCCGGCCGGGCCUUCCUUCUGAAGAACCUCAUGCCCUUCACUGGGCGUGUUGGGGAAUCAGGACUUUUACUUUGAAAAAAUUAGAGUGUUCAAAGCAGGCCUUUGCUCGAAUACGUUAGCAUGGAAUAAUAAAAUAGGGCGUGCGUUUCUAUUUUGUUGGUUUCUAGAGACGCCGCAAUGAUUAACAGGAACAGUCGGGGGGCAUCAGUAUUCAGUUGUCAGAGGUGAAAUUCUUGGAUUUACU
Molecule: ribosomal RNA, 866 nt
Filed under: Curvularia lunata
Lineage: Eukaryota; Fungi; Ascomycota; Dothideomycetes; Pleosporales; Pleosporaceae
Description: SSU rRNA
Rfam family: Eukaryotic small subunit ribosomal RNA
Source: RNAcentral